RNAcentral lists this non-coding RNA (438 nucleotides) under Pongo abelii (Sumatran orangutan). Lineage: Eukaryota; Metazoa; Chordata; Mammalia; Primates; Hominidae. The record is from RNAcentral.
CCCAGUUUUGCCAUUAAAUACAGAACUUCAUGAAGUUCUAUGGCUUCUCUGAGCCUCAGCUUCUUCAUCAAUAAAAUGGGCAGAGGUGAACCAGAUGACCUCUAAGGUUCCUUUAGAUUCUAAAAUGAUAUAAUUUUUAAAACCUUUGAAAUGUUUAUUCAAGUCUUCUCUCCUUGAGGUGUUCUUGGGACUGGAGACAUUCCAUUUGAAACCCUGAGACAACCAUACCUCAAGCUCAGGGUGUUUUAAGAAUUUUCCACCAGGCGCGGUGGCUCACGCCUGUAAUCCCAGCACUUUGGGAGGCCAAGGCGGGUGGAUCACGAAGUCAGGAGAUCGAGACCAUCCUGGCUAACAUGGUGAAACCCUGUCUCUACUAAAAAUACAAAAAAUUAGCUGGGCGUGGUGGCGGGUGCCUAUAGUCCCAGCUACUCGGGAGGC